RNAcentral lists this non-coding RNA (78 nucleotides) under Escherichia coli. RNAcentral also lists the same sequence under 8 other names. The record is from RNAcentral. Lineage: Bacteria; Pseudomonadati; Pseudomonadota; Gammaproteobacteria; Enterobacterales; Enterobacteriaceae.
CACACAUAGGCGCCUCCUGGAAAGGACACUAUGGAUAGUUGACGUUCGGGGGGACUAGCCCCGGACGUCAACGCUUCA